RNAcentral lists this ribosomal RNA (466 nucleotides) under uncultured bacterium. RNAcentral describes it as "partial 16S ribosomal RNA". It matches the Rfam family "Bacterial small subunit ribosomal RNA", at positions 28 to 507 of the family's 1533-position model. The record is from RNAcentral.
GACGAACGCUGGCGGCGCGCCUAACACAUGCAAGUCGAACGAGCGAGAGAGAGCUUGCUUUCUCAAGCGAGUGGCGAACGGGUGAGUAACGCGUGAGGAACCUGCCUCAAGGAGGGGGACAACAGUUGGAAACGACUGCUAAUACCGCAUAAGCCCACGACCCGGCAUCGGGUAGAGGGAAAAGGAGCAAUCCGCUUUGAGAUGGCCUCGCGUCCGAUUAGCUAGUUGGUGAGGUAACGGCCCACCAAGGCGACGAUCGGUAGCCGGACUGAGAGGUUGAACGGCCACAUUGGGACUGAGACACGGCCCAGACUCCGACGGGAGGCAGCAGUGGGGAAUAUUGCACAAUGGGGGAAACCCUGAUGCAGCGACGCCGAGGGGAGGAAGAAGGUCUUCGGAUUGUAAACUCCUGUUGUUGAGGAAGAUAAUGACGGUACUCAAAAAGGAAGUGACGGCUAACUACGUG